Molecule: ribosomal RNA, 558 nt
Filed under: uncultured bacterium
Lineage: Bacteria
Description: partial 16S ribosomal RNA
Rfam family: Bacterial small subunit ribosomal RNA
Source: RNAcentral
UGGGGAAUUUUGGACAAUGGGCGAAAGCCUGAUCCAGCAAUGCCGCGUGUGUGAAGAAGGCCUUCGGGUUGUAAAGCACUUUUGUCCGGAAAGAAAUCCUUGGCUCUAAUACAGUCGGGGGAUGACGGUACCGGAAGAAUAAGCACCGGCUAACUACGUGCCAGCAGCCGCGGUAAUACGUAGGGUGCAAGCGUUAAUCGGAAUUACUGGGCGUAAGCAGUGCGCAGGCGGUUUGCUAAGACCGAUGUGAAAUCCCCGGGCUCAACCUGGGAACUGCAUUGGUGACUGGCAGGCUAGAGUAUGGCAGAGGGGGGUAGAAUUCCACGUGUAGCAGUGAAAUGCGUAGAGAUGUGGAGGAAUACCGAUGGCGAAGGCAGCCCCCCUGGGGCCAAUACUGACGCUCAUGCACGAAAAGCGUGGGGAGCAAAACAGGAUUAGAUACCCCUGGGUAGUCCCACGCCCCUAAAACGAUGUCAACUAGUUGUUGGGGGAUUCAUUUCCUUAGUAACGUAGCUAACGCGUGAAGUUGACCGCCUGGGGGAGUACGGUCGCAAGAUU